UACGGUGGGGGCAAGCGUUGUUCGGAAUUACGGGGCGUAAAGGGCUCGUAGGUGGCCAACUAAGUCAGACGUGAAAUCCCUCGGCUUAACCGGGGAACUGCGUCUGAUACUGGAUGGCUUGAGUUUGGGAGAGGGAUGCGGAAUUCCAGGUGUAGCGGUGAAAUGCGUAGAUAUCGAGAGGAACACCGGUGGCGAAGGCGGCGAUCUGGACGAUGACUGACGCUGAGACGCGAAAGCGUGGGGAGCAAACAGG
This 253-nucleotide ribosomal RNA is filed under the name uncultured bacterium. RNAcentral describes it as "partial 16S ribosomal RNA". It matches the Rfam family "Bacterial small subunit ribosomal RNA", at positions 524 to 776 of the family's 1533-position model. The record is from RNAcentral.